Vespula pensylvanica (western yellowjacket) is the source of this 1157-nucleotide long non-coding RNA. RefSeq lists it as uncharacterized. The record is from RefSeq and is a predicted model, not a curated record. The transcript has 2 exons. NCBI's taxonomy places the organism in Eukaryota, Metazoa, Arthropoda, Insecta, Hymenoptera, Vespidae.
UAUAUAUAUAUAUAUAUAUAUAUAUAUAUAUAUAUAUAUAUAUAUAUAUAUAUAUAUACAUACAUACAUACAUACAUACAUACAUACAUACAUAUAUAAGUACAUAUGUUGUAUGUAUCGAGGAUCGACAUUGCACUUUACGACGGUGGAAUUUCAAUGAAAAAUAAAUCGAAAUAAUGCGUACCUAAAACUUGUUUAAACAUUUACAGACUCGCCUAUUACAGACUACUUAUUGCUAUAAACGAUUAUUAAUAAUUAUAUACGUAUAUAUAUAUAUAUAUAUAUAUAUAUAUAUAUAUAUAUAUAUUAUGAUAUAGACACUAUACAUUGUUUCGGCAUGAUGUAAGAAUACUGUUGGUAAUGAAAUAAAAAAAAAGAUAUACUUGUCAUAUUGUUCAUCAUCCUCCUUCCAACAUUCUUCCAAAUAUUAAUCCAAUAUCUUGUCUUUAUUUGUUAUAUAAGAAUUAUUCGAUAUUAAAAAUUAAAAGUUUCGGAUAAAAGUCUAUACGACUCGCAUAAUCGGAUAUUCGGUGACGCUACAAAAUCCUUUUACUAAGAGGUGUGAGAAAAAUGCCUCUUGCGUGAAAAAACCAAAGCUCUCGCAUGGUUCUCAAGCUUACACCUCCUAUUUCUUUCUUUUUUAUUUUAUUUUAUUUUUUUUUAUUGUUCAAAAGUUUUCUCGGACGUUCCUAGACUACUCGCUAUUGUGCUAUACUGACGGUAGAGUUACCCACAUGAAAUAAAUUAGUUAAAUGAAUUUUAGUUUGAAACUAGUUUUACGUGAAUACACGCAUUCUCGUAUAUAUCGUCGAAUUUCUAUCUCUCUCUUUCUCUCUCUCUCUCUCUUUCUAUCUAUCUAUCUCUAUCUCUCUUUUUCUUUCUCUUUCUCUCUCUCUCUCACUCUCUCUUUAACAUUCUUCCAAAUUAAUCAUCCGACUAACUAGAAAACGGAUUGCUUUACGUUGGUAAUAUUUCCUGUUGUAAUUCGUAUCCAUUCGAAGAAGUUUACAUACGUGUUCGUUAAAUGAUUGUUGAUGACUAAAUUAUUGGUUAUAUUAAACGAAUAAUAUAGUUUAUAUAUAAAAUGUUAUAAGAGAUAAAAAUAAUUUCUUGAACUUAUUGUGUUUAAAGCUAUAAGAUUGAAAUAAAAUUUUUCA